CCAACGUGGAUAUCCCGGGAGGUCACUCUCCCCGGGCUCUGUCCAGGUGGCGCUUCUGCCCCAUGAUGUACAGUCCCUUUCCACAACGUUGGAGAAGAAGCUGGGCCUUGUGUCUGCGCCUGCAUAUUCCUACAACUUCUCAGAGUCCUUUGGGCAAUGACUGAGGAGAUAAACCAUGCAGGAAACAGUU
This is a small nucleolar RNA of Fukomys damarensis (Damara mole-rat), 190 nucleotides long. Its record names the gene SNORA73. It matches the Rfam family "Small nucleolar RNA SNORA73 family". From Rfam's summary of the family: U17 (SNORA73A and SNORA73B) also known as E1 belongs to the H/ACA class of small nucleolar RNAs (snoRNAs). Vertebrate U17 is intron-encoded and ranges in length from 200-230 nucleotides, longer than most snoRNAs. It is one of the most abundant snoRNAs in human cells and is essential for the cleavage of pre-rRNA within the 5' external transcribed spacer (ETS). NCBI's taxonomy places the organism in Eukaryota, Metazoa, Chordata, Mammalia, Rodentia, Bathyergidae. The record is from Ensembl.